RNAcentral lists this long non-coding RNA (1333 nucleotides) under Homo sapiens (human). Its description in RNAcentral is "long intergenic non-protein coding RNA 305". Lineage: Eukaryota; Metazoa; Chordata; Mammalia; Primates; Hominidae. The record is from RNAcentral.
AGAACAUUCCUGCCACUUCAGUUCAACAGCCAUCUGAAGCCCACCUGUGAGCUGGUCCAGGAAAUGAUGGACUCUGAUUUCCACACCCCUUUCCUGUGAACUUGUCUCCAAUUUAGUCUGUCAAGGUCCCUUUCUUGUGAGUUAAUUUCUCCCUAGUGCUACUUCUCAGAUUGGCCAGUGACUCACAGAGUGGCACAAGUACAAAUCCAGCCUGCCUUGCAUCCAACACAGAUUCCAGGACCACUGAAACCAGCUGAGGCAUCCUGAAAGCCUAAGAUUGACCACACCAGAGGAACCAGACUGCCCUUCACAAGGAAACCUGGCGUGGAAACACAUUGCUUCCCUAACACUUUCCUGAAGGAGCUUGGACGACUUGACUCAGGCAGGUUGAGAGACCAGAAAGCCAUCCAGAGAGAGCAGGGACCCAGCCAUCCACCACCUGGUUCUACUCCCACCCUAAGUCUUUCCUCUGAUGGAUUACUGAGUGCUUAUUUGAUCCAUGAUUGUCAAUCAUCCAUCCUUGCAACAUUUAACAAAAUACAGACCCACUCUGUUCUCAGAAAGCACCACACAGAGAUUCUGAAGCACUAAUCAGGAUGUAGAAAAACACUCCAGUCACCCUGCAUUGGAAACGGAGAAGUGCUUUCAGAGCCAUACUUCCUGCUGCGAGGUCAUUAGCAGUGCGUCCAUCCACAGCAAAGUGUUUUGCCACAGGAUGGAAAUUAUCUGGUUCCACCCCUGGAUAUGAUCAACCUUCAUAGACUGUGCAUUAUACAUGCCAUCUCUGCGACCUGCAAAGAUGAAAAGGGAAAGCAGGAGAUGGAAACUGGUCAGCAGCCUUCUGGUUUAUCAGCCACACUUACAAAGGUCAAAUGUGCAAAGCGUCAGAAGACAGUGGUUAGAGUGAGAUUCUACAUGCUCUCAAUGAAGAAUAAAGCAUGCAGGAAGAACCUUUCAAAAGGUUACAACCAGAGACCUGAAGGAAGCAAGGAAGAAAGCCACAUGGUUGUCAAAGAGAAGAGGAAAGGAGAUCACUAAGCUGGAUGACGUUUUCUGUUUCUUUGAAAACAGAGAAGAUGACAAGUUAGGGAGAGAUCAGAGGUCAUACUGUGAAGCACCUUUGGAUAAACGGCAGGGACUUUGGAUUUUCUUUUUGAAUAUAAGCAUAAUCCAUUGAAAGGUCUCAUGCAGGGAAGUGGCAAAACACUUUUAAAAUUUUUCAUCUUUUCUUUCUGAAGCAGAGUUCACUCUCCAUUUAUUUGUCUUCUUUGAUAUCUCUCAAUAGAAUGUUGCAGUUUUAGUAUUCUCCUAUUAAACAUUUGUUUAACUUUCU